GCUGUCCUUAGUACGAGAGGACCGGGAUGGACGCACCGCUGGUGCACCAGUUGUCACGCCAGUGGCACAGCUGGGUAGCUAUGUGCGGAAGGGAUAAGCGCUGAAAGCAUCUAAGCGUGAAGCCCCCUCCAAGAUGAGACUUCCCACAGCGCAAGCUGGUAAGACCCCUCAUAGACGAUGAGGUUGAUAGGUUCGGUGUGGAAGCGUGGCAACACGUGGAGCUGACGAAUACUAAUCGGUCGAGGACUUAUCCACA
This 256-nucleotide ribosomal RNA is filed under the name Brevibacillus invocatus. Its description in RNAcentral is "partial 23S ribosomal RNA". It matches the Rfam family "Bacterial large subunit ribosomal RNA", at positions 2671 to 2925 of the family's 2925-position model. The record is from RNAcentral. Lineage: Bacteria; Bacillati; Bacillota; Bacilli; Caryophanales; Paenibacillaceae.